This is a long non-coding RNA of Corapipo altera (White-ruffed manakin), 551 nucleotides long. RefSeq lists it as uncharacterized. The transcript has 3 exons. The record is from RefSeq and is a predicted model, not a curated record. Lineage: Eukaryota; Metazoa; Chordata; Aves; Passeriformes; Pipridae.
AAGUGAUGGGUGUGCAGGGUUUGCUGAGCAGCUAAUUACCCUCUCCUUUGGUAAUCCAGCUUUCCACAGGGUCAGGAGAGCUGCUGCUGCCAGGUGUGUGUGCUGUGCCAGUGGGAGGCUGCAGAGAGCCCUGGACCUGCAGCUCCUCAGACAGGGAGCUGUGCCGUUGCUGUUCCAGCUCGUCCCUGUCACAGCAGGGACCCUGCCUGCUCCAGUAGCCUGACCAGGGGUCCUGGAAUCCACGUGUGGCUCUGCAGCCAUGGGAGGUGGUUUUUCCCUCUUUCCACAAGCAGGAGUUGAUUUCCCACCUGACCCUGUGGUUUGGGAUUUUGAGGAGAUGAUCUCAUAGAGCUGAACCAGUUGGACCAGUGGGCGAGGACUGGUGCCUGGCCUCACUGCAGUGGGGGUGGUGAGGCAGCUGUGUCACCAGGAGAGCACGGAGGGCACGGGCAGGACGUGCCAGGCUCCAGCACACACAGGGCUCUGCUGCAGCAGUUUCAGCCCGGGACAGCCGUGAGCAGCUCCUGCACCACACCGGGAGAUGGACCCCC